This is a small nuclear RNA of Suncus etruscus (white-toothed pygmy shrew), 105 nucleotides long. The record is from RefSeq and is a predicted model, not a curated record. Lineage: Eukaryota; Metazoa; Chordata; Mammalia; Eulipotyphla; Soricidae.
GUGCUCACUUUGGCAGCACAUAUACUAAAAUUGGAAUGAUAGUGAAGAUUAGCAUGGCCCCUGCACAAGGAUAACACACAUUUUUGUGAAGCAUUCCAUAUUUUU